CACCUGCACCCCGCAGCCCGGAUUUUGUGGGAGCUGCGCUGUUUAUACUCCAAAGUCCGUAGCACCACAUGAUUCGGCUUCGUGGCGCAGGAC
Non-coding RNA from Drosophila ficusphila, 93 nucleotides. The record is from Rfam. Lineage: Eukaryota; Metazoa; Arthropoda; Insecta; Diptera; Drosophilidae.